This 377-nucleotide unclassified non-coding RNA is filed under the name soil metagenome. Its description in RNAcentral is "partial contains 5.8S ribosomal RNA, internal transcribed spacer 2, and large subunit ribosomal RNA". The stretch from base 1 to 120 matches the Rfam family "5.8S ribosomal RNA", at positions 35 to 154 of the family's 154-position model. The record is from RNAcentral.
GAUGAAGAACGCAGCAAAGUGCGAUAAGUAGUGUGAAUUGCAGAAUUCCGUGGAUCAUCGAAUUUUUGAACGCAAAUUGCACUCUCUGGUAUUCCGGAGAGUAUGCCUGUUUGAGGGUCAUUAAAAUCAAAAUCGAUUUGUUAUUUUGGUGACAUGUCGGAAUUGGGUCAUCUUAAACCUUUAGGUUCAAGAGGCUUAAAAUUGAUCGUCAUUGGUAUGACUUAAGCGUAUUUAAGAUCUCUUAUCACGCGCUUGAUGAGUAUCGGAUGUUUAUUAGGCAUGACCAUGAUCAUGGUUUUGCGCCUAUAAUUUUCAUGAAAUGACCUCAAAUCAGGUAGGAUUACCCGCUGAACUUAAGCAUAUCAAUAAGCGGAGGA